CUCCUGUUUUGUCGGUAGUUACGCCUGGUGGAUAUUUGGUCUCAGAUGUAUGUGCGUGUAGCUGAGUAAAAAACGAAAGAGGCCUUUAGUUUUCAGAGAAACCUUUUUCAAAGAGGACUUUUGUUUUUCUGAUUUUUACUAUGCCGUCUCACGUCGGCGUUCUGUGGCAAAGGAGAUAUUGCGGCCUCUAGCUUGGUUAUUAGACUUGAAAUUUCAACACUCUUGAAGCAGAAAUACAGCAGUCCGUGUUGGAUUUUGGUUGAGUCACAGGAUUUUAGUGCGGGUUGACCCAGGUGCUUCUGGUGGUGAACUGCUGUGGAGACAAGACGACGGCAACGCGACAGUGCACGUCUUCAUACAAGGAUAGAAGGUGUGAUGUCAUCUUCAUACAAGGAUAGAAGGUGUGAUGUCAUCUUCAUACAAGAUCAAUGUGCUGGUCUACCGCAGCAAACCAGCGAAGGUGUUUCCGCAGCCUCUGCGUCAUGAAUAUCCAACCGCCAUUUCAAUCUCCUUGCUGAUAUGAAGCUCAUAUAUUGGUGCCUCAGCUGUGUACGAA
Molecule: long non-coding RNA, 556 nt
Organism: Sycon ciliatum
Lineage: Eukaryota; Metazoa; Porifera; Calcarea; Leucosolenida; Sycettidae
Exons: 3
Source: RefSeq, a predicted model, not a curated record